AGCAGCCGCGGUAAUUCCAGCUCCAAUAGCGUAUAUUAAAGUUGUUGCAGUUAAAAAGCUCGUAGUUGAAUUUCGGGGUUAGUAGAUUGGUCAUGCCUCUGGUAUGUACUGGUCUCACAGAUUCCUCCUUCCUGAUGAUCCGUAAUGCCAUUAAUUUGGUGUUGCGGGGAAUUUGGACUGUUACUUUGAAAAAAUUAGAGUGUUUAAAGCAAGCUAACGCUUGAAUACAUUAGCAUGGAAUAAUGAAAUAGGACGUUCGAUCCUAUUUUGUUGGUUUCUAGGAUUGACGUAAUGAUUAAUAGGGAUAGUUGGGGGCAUUAGUAUUCAAUUGUCAGAGGUGAAAUUCUUGGAUUUAUUGAAGACUAACUACUGCGAAAGCAUUUGCCAAGGAUGUUUUCAUUAAUCAAGAACGAAAGUUAGGGGAUCGAAGACGAUCAGAUACCGUCGUAGUCUUAACCAUAAACUACGCCGACUAGGGAUCGGAUGAUGUUAAUUUUUUAAUGACUCA
Molecule: ribosomal RNA, 508 nt
Filed under: uncultured glomeraceous AM fungus
Lineage: Eukaryota; Fungi; Glomeromycota; Glomeromycetes; Glomerales; Glomeraceae
Description: SSU rRNA
Rfam family: Eukaryotic small subunit ribosomal RNA
Source: RNAcentral